RNAcentral lists this long non-coding RNA (2022 nucleotides) under Vigna radiata. RNAcentral describes it as "long non-coding RNA (VRAD_LNC012132)". Lineage: Eukaryota; Viridiplantae; Streptophyta; Magnoliopsida; Fabales; Fabaceae. The record is from RNAcentral.
UUAACGAGUUAAGUUUAAGCUUAGUUGUUGGAAUGAGGUGGAAAGAUAUCUUUACGUGACAUCUACAAAACCUUUUAAUAUUUGUUUUAUUAUGUAUAUGUGGCAAUAUUUUAAACAAUAAAAAUAUUUUUUAUUGUAUAUCCUUCAUUGCGUCCAAUUUUCUUCUUCCUCUGCAUCUCCACCAUUGCUACUACUGCUUGCCGCGCCUCCCCCACCGCUGUUCGUCGCCUCCAACAGUGGAGGGUUUGAGAGAGAGAGGAAGGUUAUUGGAUUUGGCUCCAACGGGCUUGCCCGUUGGCAUUAGAUCUUCAUCGUCUUCAAAGAGUGCUCCUGAAGCUGAAAGGUGGGGGUAUUGUUUCUUGAAAUAUCCUGUUUUCUCUUAAAUUGAUUGAUUAAAUGCCGCUUGCAAGCAAAUACCCUGUUUUCUCUUAAAUUGAUUGGUCUUUGUUUUAGGGCAUGGGUGUGAUUGUUCUGUUUUCCAAUUUUUUUUUUUUUUAUUUUUUUUUAUCUUGGGUUGUUAGAACUUGACCGUGUGUGUUGUGGUGGCAGUGGGAAAAAUUGAAGGUGAGGUUGGAUAUUCCGACGAUGUACAAGAAGAUUGCUUGGAGAGAUGAAGGCAAUAUCGCAAGCCACCGUCAGUGCCUUGCCACCUCUACAGCAGAGCGAAACGCGCCACCACCCAAAGCCUCUUCUUCACGCCGCAAGCAGCGUCAUCCAAACCUCCACCACGAGUUCUCCCCUCAUCCAGAAAAGCAAUCAGCAACGAACAAUUGCACCUCUGCCACGACACAUAAGGGAUCCAGUGUCCCCAUAAACGCAAUCAGCAAUGAACAACCGCAAAUCAUGUUUUCUCCUUAGCGGUUCUUAAUCUGCAAACCUAGAAAAUCAACACAGUUCAUCCCAAAAUCAGAAAGAGAAACCCUAGAAUCGCGUGACCCCAAUUCGCGCCUUCACCUUCCCUAAAUCGUUAACUCCUACGCCUUCCACCUGCAUCAGAAAACAGAAACCACGAAGAAUCCUAAACACAAAACCCCAUUCGUAAAAAUCUCAAAUUGCAGAAACCCAGAACAAUGUGCCUUCUCCUUGCACCUCUUCGGACCAGAACAGUGUGCCUUAUUCCCAUAAAAAACUUAUUUUUUUAAAAAAAAUUCCAGGUAAUAAAAUAUUUUUACGUCAGCGUGAACCACGUGAUCACAAGUAAGGUGAAACUUAACUCCGUUAACUUCAUUUAACGGUAAGGGUCAAUUUCUUUCAAUUUUUCACUCUGAAGGACUUAAUUGGCAAAAAAAAUAAGUCAAGGACUAAAUUGAAAAAAAAACGCGAAAAUAGGAACCUCUGAAGUGGUUUAACCUAAGAAUUAUUAUGAACUUUUGAUACAUUAGUCUUACUUUCUCUUUUUUCUUUUGUCCUGCUCAAUCCAAACGGUGUGUUAAGUUUAUUUCGGAUUCACAUUCACUAUAUCAAGUUUUAAUUUAAAUUUUACAAGUUCUAUCUAUCCACAUAAUUUUAAAAUUAUUUUACAACUUUUAUUUCAAUGUAAAAGAUAGGUUUAAACCUCUUUUUGGUCCCUAAGUUAUAAGCGGAUGUUCAGUUUAGUCUCCGUUUUUAAAAAUGUAAAUCUUUAGUCUCUAAGUUAUAAAAAUUGUAUCAAAUGAGUCCUUUUUUGACUUGAAAUACUGUUUUUGGUUGUUUCUUAACAACUGCUACAUUUUUAGAUUGCUCUGAUUUGUUUCUUAAUAAUAACAGCAAUUUAGAUUGCUCUUUAUACUUUGACCAUGAACAUCAAAAAAGGACUCAUUUGAUACAUUUUUUAUAACUUAGGAACUAAAUGUUUACAUUUUUAAAAGCGGGGACUAAACUGAACAUCCACUCAUAACUUAGAGACCAAAAAGAAGUUUAAACCUAAAAGAUAUAUAAGAUGUAAAGAUUAAGAGUCUGGUUGAGAGAUAUUUUAAUUAAAAAUAUUUUACAUGGUUUAUAUUUAAACUUAUAUAUCUAGAUAUACACCUCUAUUUAUCAAAU